AUGGCUCAUUUCUGCAAGUGCCCUUAGGACUAUUAGGGCAAGAACUGCUCACACCUGAAAGAUCACUGCCACAUGACCCCCUGCGAAGUGAUUGACAGCUGCACAGUGGCCAUGACUUCCAACGACACACCUGAAGGGGUGCGGUAUAUUUCCUCGAACGUCUGUGGUCCCCACGGGAAGUGCAAGUCAGUCGGGAGGCAAAUUCACCUGUGAUUGUAACAAAGGCUUCACAGGAACAUACUGCCAUGAAAAUAUUAAUGACUGUGAGAGCAACCACUGUAAAAAUGGUGGCACUUGCAUCGAUGGGGUCAACUCCUACAAGUGCAUCUGUAGCGAUGGCUGGGAGGGGGCCUACUGUGAAACCAAUAUCAAUGACUGCAGCCAGAACCCCUGCCACAAUGGGGGCACGUGUCAUGACCUGGUCAAUGACUUCUACUGUGACUGUAAAAAUGGGUGGAAAGGAAAGACAUGCCACUCUCAUGACAGUCAGUGUGACUAGGCCACGUGCAACAAUGGUGGCACCUGCUAUGACGAGGGAGAUGCUUUUAAGUGCAUGUGUCCUGGCAGUUGGGAAGGAACCACCUGUAACAUAGCACGAAACAGUAGCUGCCUUCCCAACCCCUGCCACAAUGGGGGCACAUGUGUGGUCAACGGCGAGUCCUUUAGGUGCGUCUGCAAGGAAGGCUGGGAGGGGCCCAUAUGUACUCAGAAUACCAAUGACUGCAGCCCUCAUCCCUGUUACAACAGCGGCACCUGUGUGGAUGGAGACAACUGGUACUGGUGCGAAUGUGCCCCGGGUUUUGCUGGGCCCGACUGCAGAAUAAACAUCAACGAAUGCCGGUCUUCAUCUUGUGCCUUUGGGGAAACCUGUGUGGAUGAGAUCAAUGGCUACCGGUGUGUCUGUCCUCCAGGGCACAGUAGUGCCAUGUGCCAGGAAGUUUCAGGAAGACCUUUCAUCACCAUGUGGAGUGUGAUACCAGAUGGGGCCAAAUGGGAUGAUGACUGUAACACCUGCCAGUGUCUGAAUGGAUGGAUUGCCUGCUCAAAGGUCUGGUGUGGCCCUCGACCCUGCCUGUUCCACAAAGGGCACAGCGAGUGCCUUAACGGGCAGAACUGCAUCCCCAUCCUGGAUGACCAGUGCUUCGUCCGCCCCUGCACUGGUGUGGGCGAGUGUCAGUCUUCUGGUCUCCAACCAGUGAAGACGAAGUGCAUCUCUGACUCCUAUUACCAGGAUAAUUGUGGAAACAUCAUGUUCACCUUUAACAAGGAGAUGAUGUCACCAGGUCUUACCACUGAGCAAAUUUGCAGCGAAUGGAGGAAUUUGAAUAUUUUGAAGAAUGUUUCCACUGAAUAUUCAAUCUAUAUCGCUUGUGAGCCCUCUCCUUCUGCAAACAAUGAAAUACAUGUGGCCAUUUCUGAUGAAGAUACAUGGGAUGAUGGAAACCCAGUUAAGGAAAUCACCAACAAAAUCAUCGAUCUUGUUAGUAAACGUGAUGGAAACAGCUCAUUGAUUGCUGCCAUUGCAGAGGUAAGAGUUCAGAGACAGCCUCAGAAGAACAGAACAGAUUUCCUGGUGCCCUUGCUGAGCUCUGUCUUAACCGUGGCUUGGAUCUGUUGCUUGGCGACGGCCUUGUACUGGUGCCUGCGGAAGAGGAGGAAGCCAGGCAGCCACACACACUCAGCUGCCUAA
This is a non-coding RNA of Callithrix jacchus (white-tufted-ear marmoset), 1690 nucleotides long. NCBI's taxonomy places the organism in Eukaryota, Metazoa, Chordata, Mammalia, Primates, Cebidae. The record is from RefSeq and is a predicted model, not a curated record.